GGGCCUGUAGCUCAGACGGAUAGAGCAACGGUUUCCUAAACCGUGGGUCGGGGGUUCGAAUCCCUCCAGGCCUACCA
RNAcentral lists this transfer RNA (77 nucleotides) under Acidobacteriota bacterium. Its description in RNAcentral is "Acidobacteria bacterium (groundwater metagenome) tRNA-Arg". It matches the Rfam family "tRNA". Rfam says of the family: Transfer RNA (tRNA) molecules are approximately 80 nucleotides in length. Their secondary structure includes four short double-helical elements and three loops (D, anti-codon, and T loops). Further hydrogen bonds mediate the characteristic L-shaped molecular structure. tRNAs have two regions of fundamental functional importance: the anti-codon, which is responsible for specific mRNA codon recognition, and the 3' end, to which the tRNAs corresponding amino acid is attached (by aminoacyl-tRNA synthetases). tRNAs cope with the degeneracy of the genetic code in two manners: having more than one tRNA (with a specific anti-codon) for a particular amino acid; and 'wobble' base-pairing, i.e. permitting non-standard base-pairing at the 3rd anti-codon position. The record is from RNAcentral. Lineage: Bacteria; Pseudomonadati; Acidobacteriota. RNAcentral also lists the same sequence under 3 other names.